Molecule: ribosomal RNA, 253 nt
Filed under: uncultured bacterium
Lineage: Bacteria
Description: partial 16S ribosomal RNA
Rfam family: Bacterial small subunit ribosomal RNA
Source: RNAcentral
UACGGGGGGGGCAAGCGUUGUUCGGAAUUACUGGGCGUAAAGGGCUCGUAGGCGGCCAACUAAGUCCGACGUGAAAUCCCCAGGCUUAACCUGGGAACUGCGUCGGAUACUGGAUGGCUUGAAUUCGGGAGAGGGAUGCAGAAUUCCAGGUGUAGCGGUGAAAUGCGUAGAUAUCUGGAAGAAUACCCGUGGCGAAGGCGGCCGACUGGGCCGUCUCCGACGCUGAUGCGCGAAAGCGUGGGGAGCAAACAGG